This 158-nucleotide ribosomal RNA is filed under the name uncultured bacterium. RNAcentral describes it as "partial 16S ribosomal RNA". It matches the Rfam family "Bacterial small subunit ribosomal RNA", at positions 1335 to 1500 of the family's 1533-position model. The record is from RNAcentral.
CUAGUAAUCGCGCAUCAGCCAUGGCGCGGUGAAUACGUUCCCGGGCCUUGUACACACCGCCCGUCAAGCCAUGGGAGCCGGGGGCGCCUGAAGUCCGGGACCGCGAGGACCGGCCUAGGGCGAAACUGGUAACUGGGGCUAAGUCGUAACAAGGUAAC